RNAcentral lists this ribosomal RNA (253 nucleotides) under uncultured bacterium. RNAcentral describes it as "partial 16S ribosomal RNA". It matches the Rfam family "Bacterial small subunit ribosomal RNA", at positions 524 to 776 of the family's 1533-position model. The record is from RNAcentral.
GACGAACCGUGCGAACGUUGUUCGGAAUCACUGGGCUUAAAGGGCGCGUAGGUGGUUUGCCAAGUCGGGGUUGAAAUCUUUCGGCUUAACCGGAAAAGUGGCUUCGAUACUGGCAAGCUGGAGGGAGGUAGGGGCGGAUGGAACUUCCGGUGGAGCGGUGAAAUGUGUUGAUAUCGGAAGGAACGCCGGUGGCGAAAGCGAUCCGCUGGACCUCUUCUGACACUGAGGCGCGAAAGCCAGGGGAGCGAACCGG